RNAcentral lists this ribosomal RNA (464 nucleotides) under uncultured bacterium. Its description in RNAcentral is "partial 16S ribosomal RNA". It matches the Rfam family "Bacterial small subunit ribosomal RNA", at positions 29 to 507 of the family's 1533-position model. The record is from RNAcentral.
ACGAACGCUGGCGGCGUGCUUAACACAUGCAAGUCGAACGGAAAGGCCCUGCUUGCAGGGUACUCGAGUGGCGAACGGGUGAGUAACACGUGGGUGAUCUGCCCUGCACUUCGGGAUAAGCCUGGGAAACUGGGUCUAAUACCGGAUAGGAGCCAUUUUUAGUGUGAUGGUUGGAAAGUUUUUUCGGUGUAGGAUGAGCUCGCGGCCUAUCAGCUUGUUGGUGGGGUAAUGGCCUACCAAGGCGGCGACGGGUAGCCGGCCUGAGAGGGUGGACGGCCACAUUGGGACUGAGAUACGGCCCAGACUCCUACGGGAGGCAGCAGUGGGGAAUAUUGCACAAUGGGCGCAAGCCUGAUGCAGCGACGCCGCGUGGGGGAUGACGGCCUUCGGGUUGUAAACUCCUUUCGCUAGGGACGAAGCUUUUUGUGACGGUAUCUAGAUAAGAAGCACCGGCUAACUACGUG